AAAUUGAAGAGUUUGAUCAUGGCUCAGAUUGAACGCUGGCGGCAGGCCUAACACAUGCAAGUCGAGCGGUAACACAGAGAGCUUGCUCUCGGGUGACGAGCGGCGGACGGGUGAGUAAUGUCUGGGAAACUGCCUGAUGGAGGGGGAUAACUACUGGAAACGGUAGCUAAUACCGCAUAACGUCGCAAGACCAAAGUGGGGGACCUUCGGGCCUCAUGCCAUCAGAUGUGCCCAGAUGGGAUUAGCUAGUAGGUGGGGUAACGGCUCACCUAGGCGACGAUCCCUAGCUGGUCUGAGAGGAUGACCAGCCACACUGGAACUGAGACACGGUCCAGACUCCUACGGGAGGCAGCAGUGGGGAAUAUUGCACAAUGGGCGCAAGCCUGAUGCAGCCAUGCCGCGUGUGUGAAGAAGGCCUUCGGGUUGUAAAGCACUUUCAGCGGGGAGGAAGGCGUUAAGGUUAAUAACCUUGGCGAUUGACGUUACCCGCAGAAGAAGCACCGGCUAACUCCGUGCCAGCAGCCGCGGUAAUACGGAGGGUGCAAGCGUUAAUCGGAAUUACUGGGCGUAAAGCGCACGCAGGCGGUCUGUCAAGUCGGAUGUGAAAUCCCCGGGCUCAACCUGGGAACUGCAUUCGAAACUGGCAGGCUAGAGUCUUGUAGAGGGGGGUAGAAUUCCAGGUGUAGCGGUGAAAUGCGUAGAGAUCUGGAGGAAUACCGGUGGCGAAGGCGGCCCCCUGGACAAAGACUGACGCUCAGGUGCGAAAGCGUGGGGAGCAAACAGGAUUAGAUACCCUGGUAGUCCACGCCGUAAACGAUGUCGAUUUGGAGGUUGUGCCCUUGAGGCGUGGCUUCCGGAGCUAACGCGUUAAAUCGACCGCCUGGGGAGUACGGCCGCAAGGUUAAAACUCAAAUGAAUUGACGGGGGCCCGCACAAGCGGUGGAGCAUGUGGUUUAAUUCGAUGCAACGCGAAGAACCUUACCUGGUCUUGACAUCCACAGAACUUUCCAGAGAUGGAUUGGUGCCUUCGGGAACUGUGAGACAGGUGCUGCAUGGCUGUCGUCAGCUCGUGUUGUGAAAUGUUGGGUUAAGUCCCGCAACGAGCGCAACCCUUAUCCUUUGUUGCCAGCGGUUCGGCCGGGAACUCAAAGGAGACUGCCAGUGAUAAACUGGAGGAAGGUGGGGAUGACGUCAAGUCAUCAUGGCCCUUACGACCAGGGCUACACACGUGCUACAAUGGCAUAUACAAAGAGAAGCGACCUCGCGAGAGCAAGCGGACCUCAUAAAGUAUGUCGUAGUCCGGAUUGGAGUCUGCAACUCGACUCCAUGAAGUCGGAAUCGCUAGUAAUCGUAGAUCAGAAUGCUACGGUGAAUACGUUCCCGGGCCUUGUACACACCGCCCGUCACACCAUGGGAGUGGGUUGCAAAAGAAGUAGGUAGCUUAACCUUCGGGAGGGCGCUUACCACUUUGUGAUUCAUGACUGGGGUGAAGUCGUAACAAGGUAACCGUAGGGGAACCUGCGGUUGGAUCACCUCCUUA
This 1540-nucleotide ribosomal RNA is filed under the name Klebsiella pneumoniae. RNAcentral describes it as "16S ribosomal RNA". It matches the Rfam family "Bacterial small subunit ribosomal RNA". The record is from RNAcentral. Lineage: Bacteria; Pseudomonadati; Pseudomonadota; Gammaproteobacteria; Enterobacterales; Enterobacteriaceae.